RNAcentral lists this ribosomal RNA (293 nucleotides) under uncultured bacterium. RNAcentral describes it as "partial 16S ribosomal RNA". It matches the Rfam family "Bacterial small subunit ribosomal RNA", at positions 505 to 796 of the family's 1533-position model. The record is from RNAcentral.
GUGUCAGCAGCCGCGGUAAGACGUAGGGAGCGAGCGUUGUCCGGAUUCAUUGGGCGUAAAGAGCGCGCAGGCGGUUUGGUAAGUCGGAUGUGAAAACCCGGGGCUCAACCCCGGGCGUGCAUCUCGAUACUGCCCGACUAGAGGUAGGUAGGGGAGAUCGGAAUUCCUGGUGUAGCGGUGAAAUGCGCAGAUAUCAGGAGGAACACCGGUGGCGAAGGCGGAUCUCUGGGCCUUACCUGACGCUCAGGCGCGAAAGCUAGGGGAGCGAACAGGAUUAGAUACCCCAGUAGUCC